UACGAGAGGUCCAAACGUUAUUCGGAAUCACUGGGCUUACAGAGUUCGUAGGCGGUCCAGAAAGUGGGGUGUGAAAGCCCUCGGCUCAACCGAGGAACUGCGCUCCAAACUACUGGGCUAGAGGAAGAUAGAGGUGAGCAGAACUGAUGGUGGAGCGGUGAAAUGCGUUGACAUCAUCAGGAAUACCGGAGGCGAAGGCGGCUCACUGGGUCGUUUCUGACGCUGAGG
RNAcentral lists this ribosomal RNA (228 nucleotides) under uncultured bacterium. Its description in RNAcentral is "partial 16S ribosomal RNA". It matches the Rfam family "Bacterial small subunit ribosomal RNA", at positions 524 to 751 of the family's 1533-position model. The record is from RNAcentral.